This 208-nucleotide ribosomal RNA is filed under the name uncultured bacterium. RNAcentral's name for it is "partial 16S ribosomal RNA". It matches the Rfam family "Bacterial small subunit ribosomal RNA", at positions 524 to 730 of the family's 1533-position model. The record is from RNAcentral.
GACGGAACCCAUGCAACGUUAUUCGGAUUCACUGGGCUUAAAGCGUGCGUAGGCGGCGGUGUUAGUCAGGUGUGAAAGCCCUCAGCCCAACUGAGGAAUUGCGCUUGAUACUGCAUCGCUAGAGAAUGAUAGAGGUGGGUGGAACUGAUGGUGGAGCGGUGAAAUGCGUUGAUAUCAUCAGGAACACCAGUGGCGAAGGCGACCCACU